RNAcentral lists this ribosomal RNA (515 nucleotides) under uncultured bacterium. Its description in RNAcentral is "partial 16S ribosomal RNA". It matches the Rfam family "Bacterial small subunit ribosomal RNA", at positions 28 to 523 of the family's 1533-position model. The record is from RNAcentral.
GAUGAACGCUGGCGGCGUGCCUAAUACAUGCAAGUCGAGCGAAUGGAUUAAGAGCUUGCUCUUAUGAAGUUAGCGGCGGACGGGUGAGUAACACGUGGGUAACCUGCCCAUAAGACUGGGAUAACUCCGGGAAACCGGGGCUAAUACCGGAUAACAUUUUGAACCGCAUGGUUCGAAAUUGAAAGGCGGCUUCGGCUGUCACUUAUGGAUGGACCCGCGUCGCAUUAGCUAGUUGGUGAGGUAACGGCUCACCAAGGCAACGAUGCGUAGCCGACCUGAGAGGGUGAUCGGCCACACUGGGACUGAGACACGGCCCAGACUCCUACGGGAGGCAGCUGUAGGGAAUCUUCCGCAAUGGACGAAAGUCUGACGGAGCAACGCCGCGUGAGUGAUGAAGGCUUUCGGGUCGUAAAACUCUGUUGUUAGGGAAGAACAAGUGCUAGUUGAGUAAGCUGGCACCUUGACGGUACCUAACCAGAAAGCCACGGCUAACUACGUGCCAGCCGCCGCUGUAA